GAGUUGUGGUAGUCCUGUAACGGCAUUUACUCUCCCUACUCACGGUUGACACUUUCAGAGUCACCAUGUUAGCUGGCAACCUGCCCACAGAUAAACAUUUACACCGUGGAGCUAACUUCGGUUUUUGAAGUCGCGUCUGCUCAGCUUUCUUACCUUGGCAGUAUUCUUGCAGUAUCUCUGGACGGCCUGGUGAAUGAGUUGUUGGACGCUGAGGGUCCCAUCCCCACAAGGCACGACAAUCGCCGUGCGGCCGAACUGCACCGUCACCUUCAUUCUGACGGCUUGCGGCGGAACCGAGGGAAGCACAGGUGAGUGACUGAUUACCUGCACACCUGAGCGUGAGGGGCUGCUCGCCAAGGCGGUCCGGCUCGGGCCAGACAAGGCAAGACGCUGACAAUCCUUCUCCCAACUCCAAUUAAAGGCUCUUCAUCCUCGGACAAUGCAAAUACAGGUAUCGUCUGUGAAGAAAAUGGUUGCACUGUGUAUAUGGGGAGUACAGAUUUCCAGUCAAGGUCGAAAUGAAACUUCCUGGGAGUCAAUAUUCUAUCCUCUUGCACCACAGAAGAUUUGCAUUUCUACGCCAUCACUUUGACUCAAGUACUUUAUAAGCAAAAUAAAACCUUGCAGAAACAUGGCAAUCAUCUUGCAUGCCACAAGAUUUUACAAACUGCAAUAUGAUAAUAAACACAAUCUGUUUGAAUGAUGUUGGUUGAACAUUAAUAUUGGCAAGAUCAAGGAAAGCAUAACUGCUAUUUCUAGUCAUAUUGGUCCUGAGUUACGUUAUAGUACAGCUCCUUGGACAAAGCUGUCAAGAAAUGGGGUUCAGCAACAGAAACGGUGGUCUAGGCAAUGUUCACCUGAUGGCAAUAUGACUGCACCUCAAACAGUAAGUCAUCAUGAAGUGGAAGCAGAAGACUGCUGUCAAGCUGUAGUGCAGGUAGAUUGCCCUUGGACAGUGAGAUUACAAAAAUGCUUGAAUGGUCUUAAUCUGUGCCAGAGACUCAAGUGCAGAAUCCAAACUGCAGUACUGAAGGAAUGCUGCAUUGUUGAGUGAGCUGUCUUUUUUAAAAAAGACAUUGGACAUGGGGUUCCUCUAGCUCUCUGUGGAGACGAGCAUAAAAGAUCUGUUGAAUUUACUUAGGAGAAAAAAAUAACUUCUCUACAUUGUUCUAGAUGGUAUGCUUUAAGCAAUGUCAGGAAUUACAUUACUAAUUUCUGGAAUCUUUUGUGCAUAAUUUGGUUGCUGGAUUUCCCAUGUUAUACAAGUACUGCAGGACAAAAGUACUUCAUUGGCUAUAAAACUCAGGCAUUCUGAAAUGCUGCUUACAAAUGAGUUCUUCCUUUUUUCCCCAAUUACAAGUCAGUCCACUGAGAGACUUUAUUUGUAAUGGGAUAGAUACCAGCUUUCUGUACAGUGGCCAAACAAAAUUGCCUUAAUGCAGUACUGGCACAACAAUCAUGAUGAUCAAGAUUGUCUAAUGAUUUCUUGGAUUUUAAAUUUGAUGUUGCACCCUAUGGACAGACAACUUGCUGAUGAUUUCUUGUAAUCUCAUAAUUUUUGUAUCUCAGGAGAUCUAUCUCUGGACACCUAAUUUUAUCUGUAUCAAGAGAUAACACUAUCGAUUAGAUCAAAGCUUUCAAUUGCUUGCUGUUAAUAUCUUCAGCCGAAACAAAAUAAUUUGUGAUUUUUUUUUUGUAAAAGUUACAUGCCUGAAUGCAUGGUGGAGGCAGGUACUCUCACAAUUAAGUGUAUGAAUGAGUAUUUAAAUCACCAUGAAGUUUAUGGAACAACUAUUGGAAAACGGGAUUUGUAUAGACCUCAUGGUGGAGCAAAGGGUCUGUUUCUAUGAACCUAUAACCAGUGAGAGAGUUGUAAGUGCACACAUUUAACACAGACUCUCAUCUCCAUAACAAAUUUUACCCACAUUUCUUACCAAUUACAAACAUCAGAUUCUCUUUGUUCCACAAUGAAUUAAAACUUUUCAAUUAAAGAUCCUGGAAAUGAAAAACUAUGAAAUUCUUAACACAACCAAUCACUUGAAUUUAGUUUGUAUAAAUUCUGUUUAAUCUGGUGUGGAGAAGGGACAAUAAAACAAAACAAAGAAAAAUAUUUUGCAGGAAGUUCCAAAGAGCUUUACAGUCAAUAAAACAUUUUCAAAGAAUUGUCACUGUUGUAACACAUAAUGCAUUUGCACAGAGCAAGGUCCCAUAAAUAGCAAUGAGGAUAGAAAAUGUUGCUUGAGGUAUAAGCACUCUCCUCUUGUUUAAAUUGCUGCAUGGAGUUUCAUGUCACCUCUCCUGAUGCAACAAUCAGUGUUGUAUUAAAUUGGCCUGCUGCAAAUAUUGUAAGCUCUAAUCUUUUGGACAUAUGAACCCAAAACCUGCUGAUCCAAACGCACCACUUCAAAUCCAAAUACAAAAUUGUACUUAAUUUACCAUUCAAUAUUUAAUUUUAUGUUAACUUGAAUAAUAGCUUUGGGUGCAAAGGGGAAUAUACUGUAUGUCUUUGACCUGCCCAUCACCAUCAAUAAACAAUUCCACUUUAUUCUGUUUUUUUUCCUCUUUGCUUUUGGGGUAAAAUUCAAAUUCAAAAAUUCAUUGACUUCAUUUGAACAUAAUCCUACCAGAUCCAUUUUCUCCCAAUCCCCCAUUUCCCGACCUUUCUGAAUGAAUUCAUGGUUAGGUUUCCACAUUUCUAAUGUCAUUCAGAACUGUUAGCUUUCCACUCUUCUGAAGGUAAGGAUACAGGCAGGCAAGUUUAAGAUGAG
Pristis pectinata (smalltooth sawfish) is the source of this 2768-nucleotide long non-coding RNA. RefSeq lists it as uncharacterized. The record is from RefSeq and is a predicted model, not a curated record. Lineage: Eukaryota; Metazoa; Chordata; Chondrichthyes; Rhinopristiformes; Pristidae. The transcript has 4 exons.